This 497-nucleotide ribosomal RNA is filed under the name uncultured bacterium. RNAcentral's name for it is "partial 16S ribosomal RNA". It matches the Rfam family "Bacterial small subunit ribosomal RNA", at positions 28 to 507 of the family's 1533-position model. The record is from RNAcentral.
GAUGAACGCUGGCGGCGUGCCUAAUACAUGCAAGUCGAGCGAACGGACGAGGAGCUUGCUUCUCUGAUGUUAGCGGCGGACGGGUGAGUAACACGUGGAUAACCUACCUAUAAGACUGGGAUAACUUCGGGAAACCGGAGCUAAUACCGGAUAAUAUUUUGAACCGCAUGGUUCAAAAGUGAAAGACGGUCUUGCUGUCACUUAUAGAUGGAUCCGCGCUGCAUUAGCUAGUUGGUAAGGUAACGGCUUACCAAGGCAACGAUGCAUAGCCGCCCUGAGAGGGUGAUCGGCCACACUGGAACUGAGACACGGUCCAGACUCCUACGGGAGGCAGCAGUAGGGAAUCUUCCGCAAUGGGCGAAAGCCUGACGGAGCAACGCCGCGUGAGUGAUGAAGGUCUUCGGAUCGUAAAACUCUGUUAUUAGGGAAGAACAUAUGUGUAAGUAACUGUGCACAUCUUGACGGUACCUAAUCAGAAAGCCACGGCUAACUACGUG